GAUGAACGCUGGCGGCGUGCCUAAUACAUGCAAGUCGAGCGAACGGACGAGAAGCUUGCUUCUCUGAUGUUAGCGGCGGACGGGUGAGUAACACGUGGAUAACCUACCUAUAAGACUGGGAUAACUUCGGGAAACCGGAGCUAAUACCGGAUAAUAUUUUGAACCGCAUGGUUCAAAAGUGAAAGACGGUCUUGCUGUCACUUAUAGAUGGAUCCGCGCUGCAUUAGCUAGUUGGUAAGGUAACGGCUUACCAAGGCAACGAUGCAUAGCCGACCUGAGAGGGUGAUCGGCCACACUGGAACUGAGACACGGUCCUGACUCCUACGGGAGGCAGCAGUAGGGAAUCUUCCGCAAUGGGCGAAAGCCUGACGGAGCAACGCCGCGUGAGUGAUGAAGGUCUUCGGAUCGUAAAACUCUGUUAUUAGGGAAGAACAUAUGUGUAAGUAACUGUGCACAUCUUGACGGUACCUAAUCAGAAAGCCACGGCUAACUACGUG
RNAcentral lists this ribosomal RNA (497 nucleotides) under uncultured bacterium. RNAcentral describes it as "partial 16S ribosomal RNA". It matches the Rfam family "Bacterial small subunit ribosomal RNA", at positions 28 to 507 of the family's 1533-position model. The record is from RNAcentral.